This is a long non-coding RNA of Balaenoptera acutorostrata (minke whale), 1554 nucleotides long. RefSeq lists it as uncharacterized. Lineage: Eukaryota; Metazoa; Chordata; Mammalia; Artiodactyla; Balaenopteridae. The transcript is spliced from 3 exons. The record is from RefSeq and is a predicted model, not a curated record.
UAUGCAGCACCCAGCACCUUACCUCAGCACACCACUCUGGAGGUUUUGCAGCAGAAUACCUCUGAUGAGAUUCCUCUGCAUAAACGGUUUUUCCAGGCCCCUAGAGGGUGAAUUUCUGAUGGCAUCACUCCUCUGCGUCCAGUGAGCAUUGGCCAUGCCCUCUCCAACAAGGAUUUAUGCUAAGAUAAAAUGAGAUAAGACAUUUAAAAUUCUCAGAAAAUAAUGACCUUCAAGAUGGCGGAGGAGUAAGACAUGGAGAUCACCUUCCUCCCCACAAAUACAUCAGAAAUACAUCUACAUGUGGAACUGCUCCUACAGAACACCCACUGAACGCUGGCAGAAGACCUCAGACCUCCCACAAGGCAAGAAACUCCCCACGUACCUGGCCCUGUGGCUGACAGAGUCUUUAUGCUGUGGCCGGAUGUCAGGCCUGAACCUCUGAUUUGGGAGAGCCGAGUUCAAGACAAUGGACCACCAGAGACCUCCCGGCCCCACAUAGUAUCAAUCGGCGAGAGCUCUCCCAGAGAUUUCAGUCUCAAUGCUAAGACCCAGCUCCACUCAACGAGCAGCAAGCUCCAGUGCUGGACAACACAUGCUAAACAACUAGCCAGACAGGAACACAAUCCCACCCAUUAGCAGAGAGGCUACCUAAAAUCAUAAUAAGUUCACAGACACCCCAGAACACACCAUCAGAUGUGGUCCUGCCCACCAGAAAGACAAGAUCCAGCCUCAUCCACCAGAACACAGGCACCAGUCCCCUCCACCAGGAAGUCUACACAACCCACUGAACCAACCUUACCCACUGGGGUUAGACACCAAAAACAAUGGGAACUACGAACCUGCAGCUUGAGAAAAAGAGACCCCGAACACAGUAAGUUAGCAAAAUGAGAAGACAGAGAAAUACACAGCAGAUGAAGGAGCAAGGUAAAAACCCACCAGACCAAACAAAUGAAGUGGAAAUAGGCAGUCUACCUGAAAAAGAAUUCAGAAUAAUGGUAGUAAAGAUGAUCCAAAAUCUUGGAAAUAGAAUGGAGAAAAUGCAAGUAACAUUUAACAAGGACCUAGAAGAACUAAAGAGAAAAACAAACAAUGAUGAACAACACAAUGAAUGAAAUUAAACCUUCUCUAGAAGGAAUCAAUAGCAGAAUACCUGAGGCAGAAGAAUGGAUAAGUGACCUGGAAGAUAAAAUAGUGGAAAUAACUACUGCAGAGCAGAAUAAAGAAGAAAGAAUGAAAAGAAUUGAGGACAAUCUCAGAGACCUCUGGGACAACAUUAAAUGCACCAACAUUCAAAUUAUAGGGGUCCCAGAAGAAGAAGAGAAAAAGAAAGGGACUGAGAAAAUAUUUGAAGAGAUUAUAGUUGAAAAUUUCCCUAACAUGGGAAAGGAAAUAGUCAGUCAACUCCAGGAAGCACAGAGAGUACCACACAGGAUAAAUUCAAGGAGAAACAUGCCAAGACACAUAUUAAUCAAGCUCGUAAAAAUAAGAGAGAUUUGGCACAUCCUGUCCUUUUCCCAGUUUGGUUGUUCUAUAGAAUAGUCUAUUAUUCUUCAA